This 516-nucleotide ribosomal RNA is filed under the name Heterodrilus ersei. RNAcentral describes it as "partial 16S ribosomal RNA". It matches the Rfam family "Bacterial large subunit ribosomal RNA", at positions 1801 to 2613 of the family's 2925-position model. Lineage: Eukaryota; Metazoa; Annelida; Clitellata; Tubificida; Naididae. The record is from RNAcentral.
UGUUUAUCAAAAACAUUGUCAUCAGAUUUGAAUAUNGGUGAUACGUCCUGCCCAACGGGGUAUCCUAGUGGCCGCGGUAUAUUGACCGUGCUAAGGUAGCGUAAUCAUUUGUCUAUUAAUUGUGGACUAGAAUGAAUGGGUAAACGAGAUCAUUUCUGUCUUUGAUAAGUAACUGGAAGUUAACCUUUAAGUGAAAAGGCUUAAAUUAGACUGUAAGACAAGAAGACCCUAUAGAGCUUUGUCUGUGUUAUGGGGGAGGAACUGUAGUAGGAUUUGGUUGGGGUGGUCUGGGAGUGAAUUGAUCCUCCCUUAAUUUGUUGAUGUAUCAAUCUUUUUAUUAAUUUCUUUUGGAAACGUGAAAUUAAGUUACCUUAGGGAUAACAGGCUUAUUCUCCUUGAGAGUUCAUAUUUACAGGAGAGUUUGGCACCUCGAUGUUGGCUUAGGAUUUCUUUAUGGCGCAGUAGUUAUGAUAGAUGGUUUGUUCAACCAUUAAAUUCCUACGUGAUCUGAGUUCA